Carya illinoinensis is the source of this 640-nucleotide long non-coding RNA. RefSeq lists it as uncharacterized. The record is from RefSeq and is a predicted model, not a curated record. NCBI's taxonomy places the organism in Eukaryota, Viridiplantae, Streptophyta, Magnoliopsida, Fagales, Juglandaceae. The transcript has 2 exons.
AACAAGAUAACUGAGAAGCAGCUCCACCAAAAUCGAUUCCUCCACUCUCUGUGAUUUUAAUUUCUUUAUUAUCUCCUAAAUUUCCUGCAUAAUCUUUUCUGAUGCUUGGCAGGGACUCGACGAACUGGAGGAAACCGAUUUCAGUAAUCAAAGGGUGGUUCUCGCCCUCUAUGAGACCAUGGACUCGACGAACUGGAAGAAACCGAUUUCAGUAAUCAAAGGGUGGUUCUCGCCCUCUAUGAGACCAUGUACUCGCACGACGUAACCAUGAUGCACCAGAUCGUCGCCGACUGGAAGGGAAUCUCCAUUUCUGUCUUCUAAGCCCAGGCAAAGCAUCCCCUCUUUACGUAUCGUACGAGUGGGUCACGACGGCUCGCUGAUACGCUCAAUCUCAUCCAUGCUGUUUCCAGCGUGAAAGACCAGCAAAUCUAGCGGCUUCGUGAAGACGACUGGGAACUAAAGAAAAAAAAAACAUAAAAUAAAAUAAAAGUGAGGAAAGUCAUGGAGAUGACCCCACUCUUCACUAACUGUUUUGUCCUUGUCCACGGAGGUGGCUUUGGUGCUUGGUGCUAUAACACAUCCUGUCCGAUGAGAUAAGCACAAGCACACGUUUUGUGAUAAGAAUUUAUUUCAAUUACGU